UACGGGGGGGGCAAGCGUUGUUCGGAAUUACUGGGCGUAAAGAGCGUGUAGGCGGUCCGGUAAGUCCGCUGUGAAAGUCGGGGGCUCAACCCUCGAAUGCCGGUGGAUACUGUCGGGCUAGAGUGCGGAAGAGGCGAGUGGAAUUCCUGGUGUAGCGGUGAAAUGCGCAGAUAUCAGGAGGAACACCUAUUGCGAAGGCAGCUCGCUGGGACGUAACUGACGCUGAGACGCGAAAGCGUGGGGAGCAAACAGG
RNAcentral lists this ribosomal RNA (253 nucleotides) under uncultured bacterium. RNAcentral describes it as "partial 16S ribosomal RNA". It matches the Rfam family "Bacterial small subunit ribosomal RNA", at positions 524 to 776 of the family's 1533-position model. The record is from RNAcentral.